CACUGAAGGAGCUCGCUGCUGUCCCACCCUUCUGCCUCGUUUCAUUCCCAGGUCUUGGCACCAUGUACAGGAACGUGGGGAGAAGAAAUCUCAGCUUUAUAUGGAAAUGCAAAGGACCAAGAAUAGCCAUAGCAUCCUGGAAGAAAAGCAAAGCUGGGAGAGCCACAUCAUCAGGUCACACUAAUCCGGGCUAAUUCAAAUGUCAUCUUUAGUCUUCGUUACAGGGCCUGAUGAGCCCUCUACCACACCCAGACCCACGGCUGGGUGGCACCUGGGAGAGAGCUUCUCUCCCUCAGGCCUACUCCGUGCUCGUGUCCCUGAAUAUGCCUCAUUGCUUAUGCUCCUACCUCCAAACCGGGCUGGUGCUCGUCAGCCCUUCCCCCAUUAUUGCAAAGAAGGGAAUAUGAAGACUUUGUUCUGAAGGGAAAGGAAGAACUUAUCCAAAGGUUUUGACACCUGUGUUCAGGCUGACUUCUGCCCCCAGAUGGCCCUGCGACAGCCAGCUCCUCAGUGAACCUCUGACAUGAAGUGAAAGAUGAUGGCCAGGUGAUCACUGCUUUAAGGGAUCCUGCCUCACUGACUUCAGCCUUGAUUACUGGUAUCCCAUCUUCAUAGCUCUUCUGGUAUUUCAGUGUGACUUCAACAUCUGGAAAACCACAGACUCCAGCAGAACACAAGAAUAACUCAACUGAGAUACCUGCUGAAACUGCUGUGAGAAAGUACUGAUACAUAAGAAAAAAAACAGAGCAAAUGUUUAAGCUGACUAAAGUGCCCUAACAUUUCAGGGCUCUGCACUGGUUCCUUCUGAAAAGAUGACAUGCUUGCCAAGGACCAAUCACUGUUUUCUGAACAUACAGUUGAAUACUACAAGUGAAUUAAUCUGCCUGGACAGUGUGACUCAGUGGUUGAGCAUCGACCCAUGUACC
This is a long non-coding RNA of Molossus molossus (Pallas's mastiff bat), 926 nucleotides long. RefSeq lists it as uncharacterized. The record is from RefSeq and is a predicted model, not a curated record. Lineage: Eukaryota; Metazoa; Chordata; Mammalia; Chiroptera; Molossidae. The transcript has 7 exons.